CGCCUCGUGGCGCAGGGUGGUGCGCGGACCGUCGGCCGGGUCGGCGGCGAACUCCUCGGGUUCACUCCCGUCGCGGCGC
Molecule: transfer RNA, 79 nt
Filed under: Streptomyces sp. RB17
Lineage: Bacteria; Bacillati; Actinomycetota; Actinomycetes; Kitasatosporales; Streptomycetaceae
Description: tRNA-Pro
Source: RNAcentral